CAGAUUAACGGGAUUGAGUAUUUCUACACCGAUGAGUAUGGCAACAGCGAUGUGUUUGUGAUUGUGACGACCCAGAGUGGACAGUUUUAUAUUUAUGAAUAUAUGUUUGCCGGGAAAUUCCAAAUGAAAAUGCAACACGCUGUGAAUGGCUUACGAACGAUGAUGCCAUUCUACCACAUGAACAAUCAUUAUAUUUUGGCUGGCACAGACGACGAUAACAUAAUUUUCCGCAUUAUAAAACAGGGUCCACAUUAAUGCAAAAAAAAAUAGAAAUCGGCAUAAAAAUUUGAAUUUUAUAUAUAUCUAUGCAUAUUAAUAAGUAUUUAUUAUAAAUCGAUAUAGCAAAUCACUCACGAAGCACAUUC
Acromyrmex echinatior (Panamanian leafcutter ant) is the source of this 365-nucleotide long non-coding RNA. Lineage: Eukaryota; Metazoa; Arthropoda; Insecta; Hymenoptera; Formicidae. The record is from RefSeq and is a predicted model, not a curated record.